AUAAAGUGAUGAUAAAAGAAUAAUAUAAAAGGUGAUGCGGAAAAUAAAAGAAAUGUAAUAAAAGAUUUCUUCUUAUAUUCAUUUUAUUUUAUUUCUGCAAAAAAAGAAAAAUGAGCCUUAUAUAGAAGUCAUAGUUACUCUGAUUA
This 146-nucleotide small RNA is filed under the name Plasmodium gaboni. RNAcentral's name for it is "C/D small nucleolar RNA". RNAcentral also lists the same sequence under 1 other name. Lineage: Eukaryota; Apicomplexa; Aconoidasida; Haemosporida; Plasmodiidae. The record is from RNAcentral.